Dioscorea cayenensis subsp. rotundata (Guinea yam) is the source of this 669-nucleotide long non-coding RNA. RefSeq lists it as uncharacterized. The transcript is spliced from 3 exons. The record is from RefSeq and is a predicted model, not a curated record. Lineage: Eukaryota; Viridiplantae; Streptophyta; Magnoliopsida; Dioscoreales; Dioscoreaceae.
CCCCACCGGACACCGGAUACAACGCCUUCUCCAGCCCCGCAACCUGAUUCGGCAUCACGAGCAUCUCCAAGCUAAUUGGUUGGCGGGCGGUGGCAGAGAGGCACUCAGGGCUCUAGGUUCUUCAAAGAAGAAAGUGAAGCGCCGAAUUUCAGAGCUUUCCGCUUCCAUGGCCCUCGCAAUCCUCUCUCUCUCUCUCUCUCUUCACUUCGUUUGCACUAAAACCCCAGUUCUCAAUCCCAAGCUAUUGAUCUAGCGACGAUGGCAAAAUCAAUGAAGACGAAGGAGUAUGACAUGAAGAAGAUGGAGUCUUUUGGUUGCUCUGAUGCCCUACCCUUAGUUCUCUAUUCCAAGCUGUUGAUGGAACAAAGAAGGAAAGUUCGAUGACGAUGCAGCUGGAUUCUCAUAUUUUCAACCUCCGCUCUAAAGUCUUGCAGAUCCGGCCUGGCUUGUGGGGGAUCCGGGAAAGCUUUGAUUCGAAGCCAGAGGUGACCAUGGAGUGACCAAAUUAGUGGUUUUCUUUAGGGUUUGUUUAGUUUUUUUUUUUCAUGUUUGGGAUUUUUAGGGGGCUUGUUUUUAAUUUGUUGAUGAAUUGUUUAAAGUUUGGAUGAUAAGGAGUCAAGAACAAUUAACAAAGGAGUAAUUGUUUGUAAUAUUUUAUUUUGGGUGAUA